Macaca mulatta (Rhesus monkey) is the source of this 4241-nucleotide non-coding RNA. NCBI's taxonomy places the organism in Eukaryota, Metazoa, Chordata, Mammalia, Primates, Cercopithecidae. The record is from RefSeq and is a predicted model, not a curated record.
AUGCCACCGCACUCCAGCCUAAGUGACAGAGUCACUGUAGUUAUCACUUCUAUGAUUCCCUCCGAUUUUCUAACAAGUUUUUGAGAUGGUCUCAUACUCUUUAGGCUGGAGCACAGCGGCAUAUCAGGGAUUGUGAGUCCUCCAACUUAGUUUCUGUUUCUCAGGAUUCCUUAGACAUUCCGGGCCAUUUGUGGUUCUAUAUGACCAUUAGCAUUGUGUAUUCACAUUUCUUAAAUUUCUGUGCAUAAUAAAGUAUAUAAUUAGAGAGUAUGCUGGGACUGUUGUUCCUCUGGGAUAUUUUGAUUCAUGUAUAUUUUUACUAAUGAUCAAAUCAGGGUACUUGCCACAUCUGUUCUCUCACACAGGUAUUCUUCUUUUGUGAGAACAUUGGAAUUGCUCCAUUCUAGCUUUUUUGAAAAAUACAGUAUUUUGUUAACCACAAUUACCGAGCUGCGAGCUGUGGUAUAGAGAACAAGAAUGUAUCUGUCCCAACUAACUGCAACUUUGUUUCCAUAACCAAUCCUCCCAUUCCCUCCUUUCCCUCUCCUCAGAAAACCACUACUGUGCCUUCUACUUAUCGGAGGCAGAGUUUUCUGGAUUCCAUAUAACUGAGAUGAAUCUCUGCUUGUUUUUCUAUGCCUGGCUUAUUUUAUUUAACAUAUUUUCCAGGUUCAUCUGUAUGGCUCCAAAUGAAAAUUACGUUGUUGUGGAUGAACAGUAUUGCGUUGUGCAGAUAUACUGCAGUUUCUUCAUCCCUUCAUCUGUGGAUGGAAAGGUUCCACCAUGUUGGUGCGGAUGACCUGAUUGCGGUACCCGUGUCUGGGUGAAGAGGAUCCGGUUGUGACUAGAUGCUGCAGUUUCUGAAUCCCAUUCUCUGUGGGUGGACAGGACCCAUAGAAGAUGCCGAUUUAAAUAAACUGCUGCCUUCCUGAGAAUACAGGGCAAGAAAUGAUGAAAGCUAUUCAACUCCUCGAGACCCAGAGACCAGUGAAAGAGUAAGACACAGUUGGAGAAUUUGGUUAUUUUAUCAAGGGUUGGACUGAAAUGGUGUGCUUUCCUUUAAGGAAUCAGACUUACGAAGCCAAUAAAGCCCUUCGAAAAGCUGGCCUCAUAUUUUGUGUGCACAGUCCCUGUAUAGGGUUUUGAUCUGUGGUAAAUAAUGUCACUUGCUGUGACAGGCGCAGAAGCCCCGGUUUAUCUUGGAACCUCAAGAGAAGAGGAAAUUCACUGAAAUCAUAGGUUUCUCCAUCUUGCUGGUAGUGAACUGAUGUCCGGGAUUUUGGUGGCUGAAGAGUAUACUUGUGCAUAAAUCCUUCAAUUCCUGCAUUUUUUCAGCUGUGGAAAGACAAGUGGGUUGAUUCUACACCUUGAUUAUUGUCCAGAGUACUUCAUGAAACACGGGGAGGGAGAGCCCUCCUUAAGGUAGGUUUCCUUGGCUUUGCGGGUGUAGCCAGUGUUGGGAUGGCUAGAGGAACUGGUAGUUGUGGUGGUUCAGAAACCUCCAGCUGUCUCUCCCAGUGAGUAUAAGAAUUUGCAUUCUCACUAGUAGUAUGUAAGAGUUCCUCUGUCAGUAAAUCUACACUGCCCUUAUCUUCACAAAGUUUUACUGCUGUUCCUGGUCAUACUCGUUCUCUGGGGAGUUUGAUAGUAUCUGAGUGUGGUUGGGAUUUACAAUUUGGGGGAUGAUUACUGAUACGGAGAAACUUUUCUGUUACCCGAGAGUCUGUUUCAGGUGUUUUCAGAAAUGCCUAUGCCAGUCCUCUGGGUGUUUAAAAGCGUGUGUAUUGGUUUUUACGUUUUUGUCCACUUAGGACCAUUAGUUUCUUGAAUAUGUUAGGUAAGAAGCCCUUCCAGAUCACAGUUUUCCAUAAUUUUCUUCUAGUCUGCAGGAUGCCUUUUAUUUGGGUUCUCUAUUUUCUCUCCUUUGUUGAAGCUGUGUGAAGCUCUGAAGUUGUCCUUAGUCUCACAUGGUUGCAUUAGUUUUUGUUAGCACGGAUUUCUGUGUCCCUUUGAGAAGAAAAGCGAGAUGGUGAAGCCAUUGUAUGGUCUAUGGGUAUUUGGUUCCUAUGUCUUCCUUUUCUGUUUGUAGCUUAGGUUCACAGGUUCAAGUUUCCCCACAGUGGACACGCACCCUGUGCGUUUUCCUUGGAGAUUUUUGGUUUCAGAAUUGCAGUUAGGUGUUCAGUGGGUUUCGUGUCGCUUUUUGUGUCUUGUGUAGAGGAAGGGUUUAUUUCAGUCCUUUGUACGUGACCCCCCCGUUGCCUCAACCAUUGCGCCUUUGGUGUGCUUUUGGGGGAAAACAAGAAUCCCAUGGGUUCAGUGUUUAUAAUUUUGGGUUGAUUAUUUGACUCCUUCAUUGUGUCCAUUCGGUUGUCUUUCUGUGUUCAUGCCGCUAAUGGGUGGAUUGGACUUUUUGUUUUGUGAGUUUUCUUCCUUUUUUCUAUUUCUAUUUCCAAAGCUGGGUUUUCUAAAAUGAUAGCUACUUUUAUUGUGAUCGAGGGGUACACCUGCAGAUUCAGUUCCCUACAUGGUUAUGCGGUAGAAUUUUGAUGCUUGGGGUCCUAACGUACCCGUCACCCAGGUAGUGAACGUAACACCAGUUGGGUCUUUCUUCCUCCAAGGCUCCCUGUCUCCCUUCUUUUUUUGUCUGGUAUACCCAGCGUCUGUUGAUUUCAUCUUUAUGUUGAUGUGUAUUGGAUGUUGAGCUUCCACUUACAUAUGAGAACCUGCAGUGUUUGAUCUUCUGUUCUUGCCUCAGUUGCUUAGCAGAGUGGCUUCCAGUUCCACCCAUCUUCCUACUGAGGGCAUGAUUUUGUUUCUGUGUUUGAUUUUCCUUAGUGGCUUUUUGGCAUUCUUUGAUGUAUAGGUACCACGUUUUUAAAAAUCAGAUUUUCUGUUGGUGUGCGUCUAGGUCAGUUCCCCGUCUUUAUUCCUGUCAGUAACACUCCUGUGGACGUGUGAGUGUCAGUGUCUUUUUGAUAGAUGCAUGUAUUUUUCCCUUGGGUAGAUGCACGGGGUGGGAUUGCUGGGUCAAAGCGUAAGCUCUGCUUUCUAUCCUUUUUUUUUUUUCCAGAAAUCUUCAGAUUGGUUUCCACAGUUUGAGAUCUAGUUUGCAUUACCUCCAAGAGAAUAGCCGUGUUUGAUUUUCUCUGCUGCAACACCAGCGUGUUAUAUUUUGACAGGACAAAUGGCCACUCUGACCAGCGUGUGAUGGCACUGGUACCUCAUCUCUGAUGAUUAGUGAUCUGGAGCAUCCCCCAGGCCUGUUGAAAUAGCAAUCCCUUGAAAAUGUCUUCUCAGUUAUAACCCAUAUGUAUGUUGCUCAGGCCGCUGUGUGGCCCCAGCACUGUUGGUUUGCACUGGGACUUGGGGAUUGUUUGUCAUUGUUACCCAGGACAAAUGUUACACUGCUUUUCCUACAGUGAGUAGUGGGAGUGGCGUAUGGGGACAUACGCUUAUGCCCACAGUUCCAUCAGAAAUCCCACUGCCUUAAGACAGUCUCACGGCAACCCAGUCCCAGCCUUGCAGCACCAGGUAACCCUGUGGCGUUUUGACUUGGGUGUGUCUGCAUUGUUAAAGUCAUUCAGCACAUUGCCAUGCAUUUAUCCACUUCGGUCAAUGUUAAGGGAAGUUCAUUGCCUCUGCUUCUUCAGUGACUGAUGUCUGGUGCAUCAACUGAAUGCAUUUCAGGCUUAUAAGGCGUUCACCUGAAUCUAUGGGUAAAAAAGCUUUUCACCAUGCCCACCUCCCCAGUGAGUGACCAGUGUCUCAUUAUUAAUGCAUCUGAUGGCACAGAGUUUUAGUGGUUGGAGGGAGGUCAGUCGCCUAGCAGAGACUGAAAUCACGUUGGUAUUUACGUUAUUACUUUGCUACACCUUGGUUUCUGGCAGGGUUUCACACUGUUUAGUCUGGACUGAAUCUUUGAAUUACUUUACUUUGUCUACCAACUAUUUCAAAGAACUUGAUAAACUUGUUCUAAUUAGCCAACAUAGUCAUCCAUAAUGUCCGUAUACGAGGUCUAAUAAUAAAACAUUUCUUAAUGCACACGGCAUGGAAGACAGUCUACACAUUUUCAAGUGUAGACUUUGCCUGUGACUCUUUAGUGAGGAAUAGUCAUUGUUACUUUAGGAAAACCCUGAGUUUAUCCAACUCUUGUUAGAAUUGGAUAAGUGUGAAUUCCUACAAUAGAAUACAAGUGUGAGAGCCAAGUCCUGUGGUAAAAUAAACUCAUUAUUUAUGUA